GGGUUGUGAGGUUAAGCGACUAAGCGUACACGGUGGAUGCCCUGGCAGUCAGAGGCGAUGAAGGACGUGCUAAUCUGCGAUAAGCGUCGGUGAGGUGAUAUGAACCGUUAUAACCGGCGAUUUCCGAAUGGGGAAACCCAGUGUGUUUCGACACACUAUCAUUAACUGAAUCCAUAGGUUAAUGAGGCGAACCGGGGGAACUGAAACAUCUAAGUACCCCGAGGAAAAGAAAUCAACCGAGAUUCCCCCAGUAGCGGCGAGCGAACGGGGAGGAGCCCAGAGCCUGAAUCAGUGUGUGUGUUAGUGGAAGCGUCUGGAAAGGCGCGCGAUACAGGGUGACAGCCCCGUACACAAAAAUGCACAUAUUGUGAGCUCGAUGAGUAGGGCGGGACACGUGGUAUCCUGUCUGAAUAUGGGGGGACCAUCCUCCAAGGCUAAAUACUCCUGACUGACCGAUAGUGAACCAGUACCGUGAGGGAAAGGCGAAAAGAACCCCGGCGAGGGGAGUGAAAAAGAACCUGAAACCGUGUACGUACAAGCAGUGGGAGCCUCUUAAUGGGGUGACUGCGUACCUUUUGUAUAAUGGGUCAGCGACUUAUAUUCUGUAGCAAGGUUAACCGAAUAGGGGAGCCGAAGGGAAACCGAGUCUUAACUGGGCGUUAAGUUGCAGGGUAUAGACCCGAAACCCGGUGAUCUAGCCAUGGGCAGGUUGAAGGUUGGGUAACACUAACUGGAGGACCGAACCGACUAAUGUUGAAAAAUUAGCGGAUGACUUGUGGCUGGGGGUGAAAGGCCAAUCAAACCGGGAGAUAGCUGGUUCUCCCCGAAAGCUAUUUAGGUAGCGCCUCGUGAAUUCAUCUCCGGGGGUAGAGCACUGUUUCGGCAAGGGGGUCAUCCCGACUUACCAACCCGAUGCAAACUGCGAAUACCGGAGAAUGUUAUCACGGGAGACACACGGCGGCUGCUAACGUCCGUCGUGAAGAGGGAAACAACCCAGACCGCCAGCUAAGGUCCCAAAGUCAUGGUUAAGUGGGAAACGAUGUGGGAAGGCCCAGACAGCCAGGAUGUUGGCUUAGAAGCAGCCAUCAUUUAAAGAAAGCGUAAUAGCUCACUGGUCGAGUCGGCCUGCGCGGAAGAUGUAACGGGGCUAAACCAUGCACCGAAGCUGCGGCAGCGACACUAUGUGUUGUUGGGUAGGGGAGCGUUCUGUAAGCCUGUGAAGGUGGCCUGUGAGGGUUGCUGGAGGUAUCAGAAGUGCGAAUGCUGACAUAAGUAACGAUAAAGCGGGUGAAAAGCCCGCUCGCCGGAAGACCAAGGGUUCCUGUCCAACGUUAAUCGGGGCAGGGUGAGUCGACCCCUAAGGCGAGGCCGAAAGGCGUAGUCGAUGGGAAACAGGUUAAUAUUCCUGUACUUGGUGUUACUGCGAAGGGGGGACGGAGAAGGCUAUGUUGGCCGGGCGACGGUUGUCCCGGUUUAAGCGUGUAGGCUGGUUUUCCAGGCAAAUCCGGAAAACCAAGGCUGAGGCGUGAUGACGAAGCACUACGGUGCUGAAGCGACAAAUGCCCUGCUUCCAGGAAAAGCCUCUAAGCAUCAGGUAACAUCAAAUCGUACCCCAAACCGACACAGGUGGUCAGGUAGAGAAUACCAAGGCGCUUGAGAGAACUCGGGUGAAGGAACUAGGCAAAAUGGUGCCGUAACUUCGGGAGAAGGCACGCUGAUAUGUAGGUGAAGCGACUUGCUCGUGGAGCUGAAAUCAGUCGAAGAUACCAGCUGGCUGCAACUGUUUAUUAAAAACACAGCACUGUGCAAACACGAAAGUGGACGUAUACGGUGUGACGCCUGCCCGGUGCCGGAAGGUUAAUUGAUGGGGUUAGCGGUAACGCGAAGCUCUUGAUCGAAGCCCCGGUAAACGGCGGCCGUAACUAUAACGGUCCUAAGGUAGCGAAAUUCCUUGUCGGGUAAGUUCCGACCUGCACGAAUGGCGUAAUGAUGGCCAGGCUGUCUCCACCCGAGACUCAGUGAAAUUGAACUCGCUGUGAAGAUGCAGUGUACCCGCGGCAAGACGGAAAGACCCCGUGAACCUUUACUAUAGCUUGACACUGAACAUUGAGCCUUGAUGUGUAGGAUAGGUGGGAGGCUUUGAAGUGUGGACGCCAGUCUGCAUGGAGCCGACCUUGAAAUACCACCCUUUAAUGUUUGAUGUUCUAACGUUGGCCCGUAAUCCGGGUUGCGGACAGUGUCUGGUGGGUAGUUUGACUGGGGCGGUCUCCUCCUAAAGAGUAACGGAGGAGCACGAAGGUUGGCUAAUCCUGGUCGGACAUCAGGAGGUUAGUGCAAUGGCAUAAGCCAGCUUGACUGCGAGCGUGACGGCGCGAGCAGGUGCGAAAGCAGGUCAUAGUGAUCCGGUGGUUCUGAAUGGAAGGGCCAUCGCUCAACGGAUAAAAGGUACUCCGGGGAUAACAGGCUGAUACCGCCCAAGAGUUCAUAUCGACGGCGGUGUUUGGCACCUCGAUGUCGGCUCAUCACAUCCUGGGGCUGAAGUAGGUCCCAAGGGUAUGGCUGUUCGCCAUUUAAAGUGGUACGCGAGCUGGGUUUAGAACGUCGUGAGACAGUUCGGUCCCUAUCUGCCGUGGGCGCUGGAGAACUGAGGGGGGCUGCUCCUAGUACGAGAGGACCGGAGUGGACGCAUCACUGGUGUUCGGGUUGUCAUGCCAAUGGCACUGCCCGGUAGCUAAAUGCGGAAGAGAUAAGUGCUGAAAGCAUCUAAGCACGAAACUUGCCCCGAGAUGAGUUCUCCCUGAGACUUAGAGUCUCCUGAAGGAACGUUGAAGACGACGACGUUGAUAGGCCGGGUGUGUAAGCGCAGCGAUGCGUUGAGCUAACCGGUACUAAUGAACCGUGAGGCUUAACCUUACAACGCCGAAG
Molecule: ribosomal RNA, 2925 nt
Filed under: Escherichia coli
Lineage: Bacteria; Pseudomonadati; Pseudomonadota; Gammaproteobacteria; Enterobacterales; Enterobacteriaceae
Description: bacterial LSU rRNA
Rfam family: Bacterial large subunit ribosomal RNA
Source: RNAcentral